Molecule: ribosomal RNA, 254 nt
Filed under: uncultured bacterium
Lineage: Bacteria
Description: partial 16S ribosomal RNA
Rfam family: Bacterial small subunit ribosomal RNA
Source: RNAcentral
GACGAACCGUGCGAACGUUAUUCGGAAUCACUGGGCUUAAAGCGCGUGUAGGCGGAUGGGAACGUCGGCCACUGAAAGCCCCCGGCUCAACCGGGGAAGUGGUGCCGAAACGACCCGUCUGGAGGGACGUAGGGGGACCUGGAACUUCCGGUGGAGCGGUGAAAUGCGUUGAGAUCGGAAGGAACGCCCGUGGCGAAAGCGAGGUCCUGGACGUCAUCUGACGCUGAGACGCGAAAGCUAGGGGAGCGAACGGG